GGAGAGUUGGCAGAGCGGCCGAAUGCGGCGGUCUCGAAAACCGUUAGCCAGCAAUGGCUCGGAGGUUCGAAUCCUCCACUCUCCG
RNAcentral lists this transfer RNA (85 nucleotides) under Pseudomonadota bacterium. RNAcentral describes it as "tRNA-Ser". It matches the Rfam family "tRNA". Rfam says of the family: Transfer RNA (tRNA) molecules are approximately 80 nucleotides in length. Their secondary structure includes four short double-helical elements and three loops (D, anti-codon, and T loops). RNAcentral also lists the same sequence under 1 other name. Lineage: Bacteria; Pseudomonadati; Pseudomonadota. The record is from RNAcentral.